GGGACUGUGGCUCAGUGGUAGAGUGCUUGCCUAGCAUGUGUGAAGCACUGGGUUCAAUUCUCAGCACCA
Molecule: transfer RNA, 69 nt
Filed under: Ictidomys tridecemlineatus (thirteen-lined ground squirrel)
Lineage: Eukaryota; Metazoa; Chordata; Mammalia; Rodentia; Sciuridae
Description: Spermophilus tridecemlineatus (thirteen-lined ground squirrel) tRNA
Rfam family: tRNA
About the family: Transfer RNA (tRNA) molecules are approximately 80 nucleotides in length. Their secondary structure includes four short double-helical elements and three loops (D, anti-codon, and T loops).
Source: Rfam by way of RNAcentral